AGGACCUGCUGAACUUGAGGUCCUAUGGAGAACACUGAUGGCCCACCCCUGAAGGUGGCCCUGGUCUUCAUGCAUGCAUCAGCCUCAGCCAUCUCAAGAUCACAACGAGAACAUAGCCAAGUUAGAGAAGAAUGACCAAAAGCAUUGGGGUGCUUCGUAUUAUUAAGCUGCUAAAUUAACUAAUCUUGGGAAUUUCUAUACUCAACAAUUCUUGUUGUAUGGGAACUUCUGGCAACUAACCCUGGCAUGGCCACCAGAAUCUGCAGGGUUGAGAGAGGGAAAGAAAGGCAAAAGUGGAUGAAUGUAGCUGAAGAUGUUAUGUAACUCCUAUCACAUUCCAAGUGCUAUGUUGAUAUCUGGAGGUAUAGACAAGAUUGAAGCAGAUGCAGAGUCUUACACAUGAAUAUUUGAAUUAGGAAAUAUGUUCCCCAAAUUAGCAAAGCAUCUCGCAGACUCUUUCCUUGAUGAUAUAUUUGAAAUCCUAAUGCUGCAAGUUAAAUUAUCAGGGAUUUAAAACUAGAAGAAGUCAUUAUCACAAUUUUAUAUACUAUUUAAUUUUAAGCACAAAAUUUGACUGUUUAAGUCUUAUUAUAAUUUUAAGCAAAGUACUUUGGGUAGUCAUAAAAAAAGUAACGGGCAGGUAUUUAGU
This is a long non-coding RNA of Sapajus apella (tufted capuchin), 649 nucleotides long. RefSeq lists it as uncharacterized. NCBI's taxonomy places the organism in Eukaryota, Metazoa, Chordata, Mammalia, Primates, Cebidae. The transcript has 3 exons. The record is from RefSeq and is a predicted model, not a curated record.